AUACACCUAAUAAUAUUACAACAGUUUUUUUUCUCGAUUUUCGUAUUUAAGUACCAUUACAGUGGAAAUAUCGUCGUAAUCUCGUGACGCGACACGCUAUUUAUUGUGCAAUACAAUCGCUUAAAGGUUUUUCACAGAAUUAUACGAUUAAUCGAUCCGGUGAAAAAAUAAUUGUUGUAGUAACAGUCAAUAUUUAAACUACCAUUGAACAAUCACACGGCGCGCAGCGCCUUCCGGCCUUGCGAGAAAAAUAACAGACUUACAGCCUGAAUAUUACGGGAGCCAUACGAACAAACAUGCAAUCCAACCGAGUUUUCACGGAAAUACGUCAAAUACGGCGCUAAAAAUGAUGAUGAAAAAAAAAUCCUCUUUCCAUUUUGUAACAUCACAUACGAGAGUGCAUAUAUUUAGGUUUUCGUUUUUAUGACGACCUAGUUAUUAUCAAAUAGUCCUAUGAGAAUUGUGUACGGGGCUCAGUGCAAUUAUGUUCCAGUUCCAGUUCCAGUUCAUCAGUUCGACGACACUGAUCCUUUGGGCCUACACUUGUUUAUAGUUAUUAAUUAACUAUAUAUAUUGCGCACUCUGUACAAUUUGUACGAAAAGCAAAAAUAAUAAAUCAACGAGGUCAAGUGGUGACCAACACUUUUUGAAUUUGAUAUCGGUGUGUUGUACCUGACACUCGUACAUGGAUCGUGCAUAAACCAGAAGAAAACUUUAUAAACACGACUCUAAUGAACUCUAACUUGCACAUCGAUUGAAUAGUGAUUA
Molecule: long non-coding RNA, 768 nt
Organism: Myzus persicae (green peach aphid)
Lineage: Eukaryota; Metazoa; Arthropoda; Insecta; Hemiptera; Aphididae
Exons: 3
Source: RefSeq, a predicted model, not a curated record